GGUAACAUGGAGUAGUUGGUUAAGCCACCUGCCCAGGAAGCAGGAUGUCCUGGGUUCAAAUCCCAGAGGUACUU
This 74-nucleotide transfer RNA is filed under the name Cavia porcellus (domestic guinea pig). It matches the Rfam family "tRNA". Rfam says of the family: Transfer RNA (tRNA) molecules are approximately 80 nucleotides in length. Their secondary structure includes four short double-helical elements and three loops (D, anti-codon, and T loops). The record is from Rfam by way of RNAcentral. Lineage: Eukaryota; Metazoa; Chordata; Mammalia; Rodentia; Caviidae.